Molecule: ribosomal RNA, 273 nt
Filed under: Entamoeba histolytica
Lineage: Eukaryota; Evosea; Mastigamoebida; Endamoebidae
Description: partial 25S ribosomal RNA
Rfam family: Eukaryotic large subunit ribosomal RNA
Source: RNAcentral
GACCCGAAAGAUGGUGAACUAUACUUGAACGGAUUGAAGCCGAAGGAAACUUUGGUGGAAGAUUCACGCAGUGUUAACGUGCAAAUUACUUGUCAUAUUUGAGUAUAGGGGCGAAAGACUCAUCGAACUAUCUAGUAGCUGGUUCCACCUGAAUAUUCCCUUAGGAAGGUCAAAGUAUUAAUAGUAUUGAUUGGUAAAGAUAAUGAUUAGGUGUAAUGGGUGAGUAUAUUCACUCAACAUCUUGUCAAACUAUGAAUAAACAAAGAAGAAUUC